UUAAAUUGAAGAGUUUGAUCAUGGCUCAGAUUGAACGCUGGCGGCAGGCCUAACACAUGCAAGUCGAGCGGAAACGAGUUAUCUGAACCUUCGGGGAACGAUAACGGCGUCGAGCGGCGGACGGGUGAGUAAUGCCUAGGAAAUUGCCCUGAUGUGGGGGAUAACCAUUGGAAA
RNAcentral lists this ribosomal RNA (174 nucleotides) under Vibrio alginolyticus. RNAcentral describes it as "partial 16S ribosomal RNA". It matches the Rfam family "Bacterial small subunit ribosomal RNA", at positions 1 to 156 of the family's 1533-position model. The record is from RNAcentral. Lineage: Bacteria; Pseudomonadati; Pseudomonadota; Gammaproteobacteria; Vibrionales; Vibrionaceae.